Molecule: unclassified non-coding RNA, 471 nt
Filed under: uncultured fungus
Lineage: Eukaryota; Fungi
Description: partial contains small subunit ribosomal RNA, internal transcribed spacer 1, and 5.8S ribosomal RNA
Rfam family: Eukaryotic small subunit ribosomal RNA (bases 1-73)
Source: RNAcentral
ACAAACUUGGUCAUUUAGAGGAAGUAAAAGUCGUAACAAGGUUUCCGUAGGUGAACCUGCGGAAGGAUCAUUAGUGAUUGCCCUAGUGGCUUAAACUAUAUCCAUAUACACCUGUGAACCGUUUGAUUGACACUCUGUGUCGAUUUUACAAACAAUGUGUAAUGAACGUCUAGUUAUUAUAACAAAAAAUAACUUUCAACAACGGAUCUCUUGGCUCUCGCAUCGAUGAAAGACACAGCCUGUCUCUUAGAGGAAGUAAAAGUCGUAACAAGGUUUCCGUAGGUGAACCUGCGGAAGGAUCAUUAGUGAUUGCCCUAGUGGCUUAAACUAUAUCCAUAUACACCUGUGAACCGUUUGAUUGACACUCUGUGUCGAUUUUACAAACAAUGUGUAAUGAACGUCUAGUUAUUAUAACAAAAAAUAACUUUCAACAACGGAUCUCUUGGCUCUCGCAUCGAUGAAGAACGCAGC